Long non-coding RNA from Lucilia cuprina (Australian sheep blowfly), 729 nucleotides. RefSeq lists it as uncharacterized. NCBI's taxonomy places the organism in Eukaryota, Metazoa, Arthropoda, Insecta, Diptera, Calliphoridae. The transcript is spliced from 2 exons. The record is from RefSeq and is a predicted model, not a curated record.
GAAUUUAUUAAGAAUGUGUAAUAACAGUUUAUAGAAAACAUGUUUAAUAAAUAUAUAUAUAUAAAAAAAUGUAUAUUAAUAUUUGUGAUAACAAUUUUAGAAGUACCUAUUGGAAUGAAUUCAAUUGGAUGAUAAGUCUUAUUUUUGUUAAUACUCUAUCCCUGCAGGAAACAGAGCGAUAAUUGUCUUAAAGCCACUAGUUAUAUUACAAGUAGAGCUGAUAUUAGUGAAAAAGGGGUGGAUCUGCAGCACAAUGUACGAAAAUUUCCACCGACGUGUAAGAAAGUAUCACCGUGAAAUAAGGACAACACGGUAGGUGUUCUCGUAAAGCACUUCGCCUUACGUAUCUCUUGUUUUUCUGGCAACAGCAGAGAACUUAUCCAGAAAUAUAGAUUUCACUGUUCAUCAGUCCUUAUAUCAACAUUAUCUUCACUCGAUUUUGGAUUUGAACCACAGCCACCACGUGCAUCCGAAGGGACCUCUCCAAUAACCAGGAUGAGGCAAUACAGACGAGUGGUAUGUUGAAUUCACAGAACCCAUAUGUGUGAAGAGCCUACUUUAUGUUUUCAAAAAAAUAUAUGUAUGCAUAACCCCUGAUAUCAAAAUUGGUGGUGCGGAUAGAAAUCAGAAUAUCUUCAAACUUUCGACUUGCAUUGUAUUGUGCUAAAUGUAUUUACAAAAUUUUUUAUUUGAAUUGAAUUUUUAUAAAUAAAACAACAUAAAAUUUUA